This 172-nucleotide transfer RNA is filed under the name Candidatus Woesearchaeota archaeon. Its description in RNAcentral is "tRNA-Leu". It matches the Rfam family "tRNA". Rfam says of the family: Transfer RNA (tRNA) molecules are approximately 80 nucleotides in length. Their secondary structure includes four short double-helical elements and three loops (D, anti-codon, and T loops). The record is from RNAcentral. Lineage: Archaea; Nanobdellati; Candidatus Woesearchaeota.
GCCGGGGUAGCAAAGCUUGGCCAACAACCUUUCAGGUUUCUAUCGGGAAGGUGUGCGUGCGCUCACUGCGUUCGCGUAGCCCCAUAAAUAAACAAUCUGAGGUUGGCUAGAUGCGCAGGACUUAAGAUCCUGUCUCUUAGUGGGUUCGAGGGUUCAAAUCCCUUCCCCGGCA